GCCUACGGGACGCACCAGUGGGGAAUAUUGGACAAUGGGCGAAAGCCUGAUCCAGCAAUGCCGCGUGUGUGAAGGAGGUCUUCGGAUUGUAAAGCACUUUCACCGGUGAAGAUAAUGACGGUAACCGGAGAAGAAGCCCCGGCUAACUUCGUGCCAGCAGCCGCGGUAAUACGAAGGGGGCUAGCGUUGUUCGGAAUUACUGGGCGUAAAGCGCGCGUAGGCGGAUAGAUAAGACAGAGGUGAAAUCCCGGGGCUCAACCCCGGAAUUGCCUUUGAUACUGUUUAUCUUGAGUGCAGAAGAGGUAAGUGGAAUUCCGAGUGUAGAGGUGAAAUUCGUAGAUAUUCGGAGGAACACCAGUGGUGAAGGCGGCUUACUGGUCUGCAACUGACGCUGAGGCGCGAAAGCGUGGGGAGCAAACAGGAUUAGAUACCCGAGUAGUC
This 441-nucleotide ribosomal RNA is filed under the name uncultured bacterium. RNAcentral's name for it is "bacterial SSU rRNA". It matches the Rfam family "Bacterial small subunit ribosomal RNA", at positions 337 to 795 of the family's 1533-position model. The record is from RNAcentral.